RNAcentral lists this ribosomal RNA (498 nucleotides) under uncultured bacterium. RNAcentral describes it as "partial 16S ribosomal RNA". It matches the Rfam family "Bacterial small subunit ribosomal RNA", at positions 28 to 507 of the family's 1533-position model. The record is from RNAcentral.
GACGAACGCAGGCGGCGUGCCUAAUACAUGCAAGUCGAGCGGACGAAUCGAAAGCUUGCUUUUGAUUCGUUAGCGGCGGACGGGUGAGUAACACGUGGGCAACCUGCCCUGUAGACGGGGAUAACACCGAGAAAUCGGUGCUAAUACCGGAUAACACGAAAUGUCGCAUGACGUUUCGUUGAAAGACGGCGCAAGCUGUCGCUACAGGAUGGGCCCGCGGCGCAUUAGCUAGUUGGUGAGGUAACGGCUCACCAAGGCGACGAUGCGUAGCCGACCUGAGAGGGUGAUCGGCCACACUGGGACUGAGACACGGCCCAGACUCCUACGGGAGGCAGCAGUAGGGAAUCUUCCGCAAUGGACGAAAGUCUGACGGAGCAACGCCGCGUGAGCGAAGAAGGCCUUCGGGUCGUAAAGCUCUGUUGUUAGGGAAGAACAAGUAACGCAGUAACUGGCGUUACCGUGACGGUACCUAACGAGAAAGCCACGGCUAACUACGUG